Molecule: long non-coding RNA, 4459 nt
Organism: Oxyura jamaicensis (ruddy duck)
Lineage: Eukaryota; Metazoa; Chordata; Aves; Anseriformes; Anatidae
Exons: 2
Source: RefSeq, a predicted model, not a curated record
UAUUCUCUCUCCCUAUAAACCUUGCCUUAUAUUAAUUGAAAGUGAUGGUAUGGCAAGUUUUAUUCAAGGUUGUCUUGUCAGUGGAUUUGGGAAAGGAAAGCUUGAAGAUAUUUUCUUGCAUGUUGUUUUAUACAACAAAAUCUUGACAUAUUUGAUUGAAAUUAUUUGAAUUUAUAGUAACUGUUAAUGGUACUUUGAAAUAAGUACCAUUUGUUUGUUAAUUUGAAACCUCCCUCACGAGAUCAACAUGAUAAAACUUGGCAUGUUGUUUCUUGAUCUAUUCGAUGUACGAAGAUCUUUAUGCAAUUCUGUCCUCCUGAGCAUUUGGAGCAUUUCUGUCUAGUUGUUGGUUUAUUAACAGCAAAGGCUAAGAAAAGAGGAGUAGUGUUUGCAAGAUAGCAUCUGAGAAAGAAUUACUCUCCUAUUUGGAAAGGUGAGACAAGUCUUCCUAAUUGUCAAAAAGGCUUUUUUGUGGAACUGUUUGGCUGACAUUGGCCUGUAAUCUUGGACUUUGUAUUUUUAAAGGAUGCAAUUUUCAUCAUAUAUAUAUAUGUUUGGACGUAAUGUUAGUUGGAAAAUGCAAAAACCAUGUGAGGAAUGGCACAACUUACACUGUAGGCUAUGUUUUGAGUUAAAGCUUAAAGCUAAUCAGCACUCUCUGGGUUUACUUUGGACUGUUAAUGCAAGCCCAUCAGUGUUGUAUAGACAUUCUUCUACGUCAUUUAACUCACUGUUAGAAAUACUUGGCAAAUGUAUUGUACUGAAUUUUUAUUUUAAUGCCCUAAUGCUCCUAUAAAGCUCCAUGAAUAUUAGCUCCAAAUAAUAUUUUGUAUAUAAAACAGCUAGAAGAUAUAGAAUGUAUUUGAUCACUCAAAGAGAACAAAUACAUAGUUCCCAGAAUAACACUGCAAAUGUUAAGUGAAGCCUUUUGUAAAAAAAAAAAUAAAUGAUAAGUUUUCCGUAAAAAAACAGUGGGAAUCGAGUAUUUGCAGUGACUUGAAAUGUGAGCUUAACUAUGUUUAUGCAACUUACUCUGGAGGGUGCUUUUGUGGGGACAGAGCAGUAAACCAUUUAGCCACUUGAUGCCUGGAAUAUAAGAUGAGUCACAAAUAAAAUUCUGCUCUGAGUUCCAAGAAUACUUAAGAAAUUUUAGUAUUUCCACGAAAAUACAGAGAACUGAAAUUGUCUUUACAAUAUAGCCAUUAUGAUCUCAAGCAAUUUAUUUGUAGUACUACAACAAAUCUCUCUAAUACACAAGCAAAAUAAAUAUGUAUGAAAAAGAGUUUUAUGUUCUUACCACUGAAACAAAACCACUGACUACAUGUGUUUUUUAUUUACUUACUGUUAAAGAGCAGUUAGAAAUAGAGGUGGGCUUGGGGGCGGUGUUUGUUUUUUAGGAUUAGGUCAUGACAUUUGACAAUUGCAUUUGUUUAGAUCUGUUGUAGGAAAAUUUGUUUUUGCUGUUGUGGCUAAGAUUGCUCUAAAACUUAGAUUGUUUAUUGAUGUUUUUCCAAAAGUUUUGAAAAUAAUGUGCUUUGUUUUGCUUGUGAUUGUUGCAGAGCUUCCUUAUGUUUUGCUUGAGCUGGUCUGUGUUUUAGAAUAUAGAAAGGCAGCUUCUAAUUUCUACCGUGGUGUGCUGCGUGUCCUCCAUUGCUUUGUUUGUGUCAGAUGCCUUCUGAAAGUUAAGCAUUGCUUUCUGCCAUGACUUCAGAGUCCCAGCUCUCCUUGAGGACAGACUGAACGUGAAGGCUUCUGCAAACCCUUUCCUAUGUCAGAAAAUACUGUGCUUUUAUGAAAAAUCUGUAAUCGUUUACUUGAGAAACUACUGCCUGUCUGCAACUUGAAGUAAGGUCUCCAAGGGUACUGGAGAACGUGAUAGGUGUUUUUGAGAGCCUUUUUUUUUAAUCUGUAAAAUCAUCUUAGUGGAUAGAAAAAAACUUGUAUUUCCAGUAACUUCUGGUGUGGUAGCCAGGUAGCGUGGAGAAGGAUGCAGUGUGAUUUGCCUGCAGAGUAUAGCACAUCUAAUGCUGGUGAGCAAAAAGGGGCUGGGUUGGUACUGGGGAAUACAGGGGAGCUAUGGAAGAGCAAAGGGGCCUCAGUAUUUGAGGGAAACUGGAGAUGGGCUGGGUGUGGAAAUGAAGCAGUGGAAGGGAAUCAAAAUUUCUAGAGGAAUCCAGGUGAAAGUGUCUCAGACUCGGUUCCUAGAAAUAAGAGUAAAUAUGAGUACAGCUGAAGAAAAGGUUUGCAAAGUUAGUUGCUGGAGAAAGGACUGGAAGAAGUAAACUACAUUUGUUGCAACACUGGUGGUAGGAGAACUUAGAGGAAGGUCUGUUGUAACAAAUUCCAGAUGGAAUCGUGAGUCUUCUGCAAAUAGCAAACAUUGGGAGGAAAAAAAAAAAGAUGGAUUUUCAACACAAUACAAAGCCUCCUUGUGUCUGUUGCUGUCAGGUGGAGGUGACAUAAGACUGCUUUGUGUGCUUUUUGCACCAGCACUGGCUGGUUCUUCCUGGUUCAUUCCCAGGAUCAGUGUAGUUCAAGAAGAUAAGAUUAGAAUUGCUGUUGAUUUCAUUUCUGAUGUCCAAAACUUUAAAUGUACUGAGAAGGCAUUUCGCUUCUGGACCAAUCCAAUGGCAGGCAGUGUUCUGGUAUCUUGUGGAAUCCUUGUAUAUGGAAGUGUGUGUUUGUGUAUAUACACACAAAAUCAGAAAUUCCUUCAAAGCACUGUAGCAAUUACAUACAAUUUUUGCUGUUGUGGCUGUAUAUGUGUGUAUAUGUGUAAUUGCUACAGUGGUCUGAAGGCAUUUCUGAAACAUGGCAUAUGCUUGCUUUUAAACUUGUGGAAAGUUCCCAUAUCACUUUCACAAAUUGCAGGAGGGAUUGGUUCUGCUUCUCAUGACCACAGAUAUAAGACUGAGAUGUUAGGAAAAAUAUUGCUGCCUAACAAGAAAGGAGAACCCGGACUCUUGUAUGUCAGAGUUUCGCAGAUUUAAUGGGCAUAACUAUUGAUCAUAGUGACUUGCAGGGUACGUACUAGUUAUUGAAAAACAGAAUGUUUGUGAGGAUUAUUUGGCUCCAUUGUCCUGUUACUAUUUUUAUACACAUUUUCAAAACUAUUUUGCCAGGCUUUAUAAUGAAGAAACAAAACAUUGUGGUAAAAGUUGAUUAAUAUUUUGAAUGUCAGUGCUUAGCUCAUUACCCCCAGAGAACACCUUCUCAUUUUUAUGUGAUCAAAUUAAUUGUUAAUGCUCUUGAGGCUUGAGUGCUAAGUACAGGACCACUGAUGGGCUGUAGGUGUAUUUUUAUUCCUUAGUAUAUUAGACCAUUACAAUAGCCUGUAAACUAUGAAGUCAUCUUGUAAGGAGUGUGUGAAAUUUGUCAGACCGGCAUUUUCUGCCUUCACCUACUUGGCACUGAAUGCAUCAACUUCCUUCAAGCAUUUUCAUCGUAUUUCAUUCCUUUUCAUACUCAGAGGUGAUUGAACAACUUGAAGUUGUUCAGAGAUUUUUGUACCCUUUUUUGUUUUGGACAAUUUGACAUUGAUUGUAACAAGGUUGUGAUAAGGCUCCAUUUGUUGCAAGUUCAUCCGAUUGCAUUAUACCAUUUUCCUGCUCAAGUCCUUGUGUAGAUGUUCGCUCAUAUUGCAACGUUGCUGCCGGUGUUGCCAGCAGUGGAGAACCUGUGCAGUGUGGUGGUAACUUUCCAAGUUAACCGGUUUUAACUGUGUUAGUUAUUUGCUGUAAGCUUAUCUCAGCCUUUCAGGAAACUCUCUAGAAUGGUUUGAUGCUUAUUGAAGUUGUCUGUUUUAGCAUUGUCCCAUAAUUUUUCUAGGAAUUCUUCAAGUAGCUGGUCUCACAGAAUAAAUCUUGCAAGAAUAUGUUAUAGUUACUGCAGAUAAGCUGGUUCCCAGUUCUUAAGCAGAAAAGCAUUCCCUGCUUAUAAAAAUUUAUACUAUUUAUACAUCUAUAAAAUUUAUACUGCCUGUCUGAAUCUUGAAAACCAGAUUUUUUCUUUAAAAUAGUAUCUGGCUUCUUGAUAAUGUUUUAAAUAAAACUGGUUGUUCCUGAAGUCAAAUUUCUGUUGGUCAACAGUUGUGAAUCUUCAGCAAGCCAAACCUCUCUCUAGAGUCUUGCACGAAUUCACGUAAGCGAUACCUGUGGUGCAAGCUAGCCACAUCGCCUAGUAACAGGGAGUUCUCUGAGAAAGAAAGGUACAGAUAUUCACAUAAAGACAGGAUUUCAGUUGUACAGCUUGACUGCCAAGCACUUGAAAGAGUUUUUUCUGUUUGAGACAAAAUGUGGGAGGUUUGAAAUAGUCAAAUGGGAUUUGGCUGUACUGCAAGUUCAAAGAACACCAGCGAGUUUCAGUGCUCUGAAAUAGGAAUUGCAAAGAAAGAUAAAGAGACUAGAUAUUUUUAAAUGAGCUGAAGCAAAGGAAAAUUGUGGAAGGGAUAAGGCUUUUU